GAGGCUUUAUCUUAAUUAAAGUGUCUGAUUUGCACUCAGAAGAUAUAGGUUAAUGUCCUAUAGGUCUUA
Molecule: transfer RNA, 69 nt
Filed under: Dryophytes immaculatus (spotless tree toad)
Lineage: Eukaryota; Metazoa; Chordata; Amphibia; Anura; Hylidae
Also listed under: 3 other names
Description: tRNA-Ala
Rfam family: tRNA
About the family: Transfer RNA (tRNA) molecules are approximately 80 nucleotides in length. Their secondary structure includes four short double-helical elements and three loops (D, anti-codon, and T loops).
Source: RNAcentral